GAAAAGAAACCAACAGGGAUUGCCCUAGUAACGGCGAGUGAAGCGGCAACAGCUCAAAUUUGAAAUCUGGCCCCAGGCCCGAGUUGUAAUUUGCAGAGGAUGCUUUUGGCAAAGCGCUUACCGAGUCCCCUGGAACGGGGCGCCACAGAGGGUGAGAGCCCCGUAUGGUAGGACGCCGAGCCUCUGUAAAGCUCCUUCGACGAGUCGAGUAGUUUGGGAAUGCUGCUCUAAAUGGGAGGUAAAUUUCUUCUAAAGCUAAAUACCGGCCAGAGACCGAUAGCGCACAAGUAGAGUGAUCGAAAGAUGAAAAGCACUUUGAAAAGAGGGUUAAAUAGCACGUGAAAUUGUUGAAAGGGAAGCGCUCGUGACCAGACUUGCGCCGGGCGGAUCAUCCAGCGUUCUCGCUGGUGCACUCCGCCCGGCUCAGGCCAGCAUCGGUUUUCGCCGGGGGACAAAAGCUUCGGGAACGUGGCUCCCUUCGGGGAGUGUUAUAGCCCGUUGCUUAAUACCCCGGCGGGGACCGAGGACCGCGCUUCGGCAAGGAUGCUGGCGUAAUGGUCAUCAGCGACCCGUCUUGAAACACGGACCGAGGAGUCAAGCAUUAGUGCGAGUGUUUGGGUGUAAAACCCGCACGCGUAAUGAAAGUGAACGUAGGUGAGAGCUUCGGCGCAUCAUCGACCGAUCCUGAUGUUUUCGGAUGGAUUUGAGUAGGAGCAUUAACGCUUGGACCCGAAAGAUGGUGAACUAUACUUGAAUAGGGUGAAGCCAGAGGAAACUCUGGUGGAGGCUCGCAGCGGUUCUGACGUGCAAAUCGAUCGUCAAAUUUGAGUAUAGGGGCGAAAGACUAAUCGAACCAUCUAG
RNAcentral lists this ribosomal RNA (861 nucleotides) under Gaeumannomyces avenae. RNAcentral describes it as "LSU rRNA". It matches the Rfam family "Eukaryotic large subunit ribosomal RNA", at positions 56 to 947 of the family's 3401-position model. Lineage: Eukaryota; Fungi; Ascomycota; Sordariomycetes; Magnaporthales; Magnaporthaceae. The record is from RNAcentral.